This 480-nucleotide ribosomal RNA is filed under the name Flavobacterium sp. VCS-22. Its description in RNAcentral is "bacterial SSU rRNA". It matches the Rfam family "Bacterial small subunit ribosomal RNA", at positions 69 to 548 of the family's 1533-position model. Lineage: Bacteria; Pseudomonadati; Bacteroidota; Flavobacteriia; Flavobacteriales; Flavobacteriaceae. The record is from RNAcentral.
AGGGGUAGUCAUCUUCGGAUGAUGAGAGGCGCACGGGUGCGUAACGCGUAUACAAUCUACCUUUUACAGAGGGAUAGCCCAGAGUAAUUUGGAUUAAUACCUCAUAGUAUUUUUGAAUGGCAUCAUUUGAUUAUUAAAGUUCCAACGGUAAAAGAUGAGUAUGCGUCCCAUUAGCUAGAUGGUAAGGUAACGGCUUACCAUGGCAACGAUGGGUAGGGGUCCUGAGAGGGAGAUCCCCCACACUGGUACUGAGACACGGACCAGACUCCUACGGGAGGCAGCAGUGAGGAAUAUUGGACAAUGGGCGCAAGCCUGAUCCAGCCAUGCCGCGUGCAGGAAGAAGGUCCUAUGGAUUGUAAACUGCUUUUAUACAGGAAGAAACACACCCUCGUGAGGGUACUUGACGGUACUGUAUGAAUAAGGACCGGCUAACUCCGUGCCAGCAGCCGCGGUAAUACGGAGGGUCCAAGCGUUAUCCGG